AGGGUUUGAUCCUGGCUCAGGACGAACGCUGGCGGCGUGCCUAACACAUGCAAGUCGAGCGAAUGAAGUUCCUUCGGGAACGGAUUUAGCGGCGGACGGGUGAGCAACACGUGGGCAACCUGCCUCAUAGAGGGGAAUAGCCUUCCGAAAGGGAGAUUAAUACCGCAUAAGAUUGUAGUACCGCAUGGUACAGCAAUUAAAGGAGCAAUCCGCUAUGAGAUGGGCCCGCGGCGCAUUAGCUAGUUGGUGAGGUAACGGCUCACCAAGGCGACGAUGCGUAGCCGACCUGAGAGGGUGAUCGGCCACAUUGGGACUGAGACACGGCCCAGACUCCUACGGGAGGCAGCAGUGGGGAAUAUUGCACAAUGGGGGAAACCCUGAUGCAGCAACGCCGCGUGAGUGAUGACGGCCUUCGGGUUGUAAAGCUCUGUCUUCAGGGACGAUAAUGACGGUACCUGAGGAGGAAGCCACGGCUAACUACGUGCCAGCAGCCGCGGUAAUUC
RNAcentral lists this ribosomal RNA (503 nucleotides) under uncultured Bacillota bacterium. RNAcentral's name for it is "bacterial SSU rRNA". It matches the Rfam family "Bacterial small subunit ribosomal RNA", at positions 8 to 526 of the family's 1533-position model. The record is from RNAcentral. Lineage: Bacteria; Bacillati; Bacillota.